UACGGGGGGAGCAAGCGUUGUUCGGAUUUACUGGGCGUAAAGGCGCGUAGGCGGCCACCGCAAGUCGACUGUGAAAUCUCCGGGCUUAACCCGGAAAGGUCAGCCGAUACUGCGGGGCUAGAGUGCAGAAGGGGCAACUGGAAUUCUCGGUGUAGCGGUGAAAUGCGUAGAUAUCGAGAGGAACACCUGCGGCGAAGGCGGGUUGCUGGGCUGACACUGACGCUGAUGCGCGAAAGCUAGGGGAGCGAACGGG
This 253-nucleotide ribosomal RNA is filed under the name uncultured bacterium. RNAcentral's name for it is "partial 16S ribosomal RNA". It matches the Rfam family "Bacterial small subunit ribosomal RNA", at positions 524 to 776 of the family's 1533-position model. The record is from RNAcentral.